UACAGAGAUUUAUCAAAGAAAUGAAUCAGAGAAUUCUAGAUAAAUAUGGAAUCUUUCUCCAUUUAUUUUGUUCCUGAAGAAGAAUUUAAUUUUCCAUUGUGCGUCAAAUUUUCUGUAUAAGUAAUAACUUUUCAGAAUUUAUUCACCUUUUAAAGCAACCCACAUGUUGGAAAACAUUGUAGCACAGAACUGUUACGAACAAACUUACUCGUGACAAAUCACCGCAAUCAUCUUCGCGCGUAAGCAACCAAUCCCACGAAGCAAUUCACAUCACAAAGAACGAAAACGUAAUGGUGCGUUUUCAAAGAAGAAGA
Molecule: long non-coding RNA, 314 nt
Organism: Apis mellifera (honey bee)
Lineage: Eukaryota; Metazoa; Arthropoda; Insecta; Hymenoptera; Apidae
Exons: 2
Source: RefSeq, a predicted model, not a curated record